This 691-nucleotide long non-coding RNA is filed under the name Hordeum vulgare. Its description in RNAcentral is "long non-coding RNA (HVUL_LNC010491)". Lineage: Eukaryota; Viridiplantae; Streptophyta; Magnoliopsida; Poales; Poaceae. The record is from RNAcentral.
AUUGCGAUUUGAAUCACGAAGAUGUUCCACUACAUCAACCGCGUUAUAUAUGCUUCCGCUUAGCGAUCUACAAGGGUAUGUAGAUUCACUCUCCCCUCUCGUAGAUGAUCAUCACCAUGGAUAGGUAUUGCGUUUGCGUAGGAAUUUUUUUGUUUCCCAUGCUACGUUCCCCAACAGAUCACUUCCUUGGUUUGACUCUAUCGCCCAUGGACCGCAUGGUCUGAAAGGCUUGUGGCCCCCAAGGUUAAAUUCUUCGCUUGGUUAGCCUUACAAUAUUGUAUUUGGACGACUGGCCGAUUGGAGAGGCGCGGUUGGGAAAAAUGUGACCUUUGCCAGCUUUGUAACAGAGAGCAAGAAACGGGGCCUCACCUCUUCUUCAAGUGUCAUUACACACUUAGGCUAUGGAGAUCUAUCGUCGAGAAUCUUGGUCUAACUCACAUCACCGUCUCUGACUGACAGCUUGAUGAAUCCGUCAACGAGUGGUGGGACAAACGGACCGACAACCGGAGCCCGAACUGGCAGGCCAUGACCUCCCUCAUCAUGCUCAUCUCAUGGACUGUCUGGAACGAACGAAAUGCUAGGGUGUUUCGUCAAAAAUUUGCGCCACCACCGGUUGUUCUUGCAUCCAUUCGUGAAAAAGCAAAUCUUUGGGUUAGUGCCGACGCAAAAAAAAAACUUGGGCAUGUAAUAU